AAAUGUUACCGGCAAGGCUACCCAGAUCCGAAUAAUUGCACCCGGUGUAAAUGUCCCGAUGGUUUUGGUGGUUUGUAUUGCGAAAAGAUUAUCAAAGAAGAUGACGAAUGCAGCAAGGAAGUUCUUAACAAAAGGUACGGACUAAUAAAAGUUUGGGACACUGGCAACAUCACUCUGCCAAAAGCGUGCAACUGGCUGAUACAAGCGCGCCCUUGUCAAACCAUAUUAUUCGAAUUAUUAGAACUUAAAAUUGGGGGCUACGCGAAGGAUAACAUCAGAUGUCUAAACUGGAUCGAAAUAAGAGGGGCGGAAGAUUUAUCUUUAAUAGGAGAAAGGUUCUG
This is a long non-coding RNA of Gordionus sp. m RMFG-2023, 341 nucleotides long. RefSeq lists it as uncharacterized. The transcript has 3 exons. The record is from RefSeq and is a predicted model, not a curated record. Lineage: Eukaryota; Metazoa; Nematomorpha; Gordioida; Chordodea; Parachordodidae.